Molecule: ribosomal RNA, 369 nt
Filed under: Triticum aestivum (bread wheat)
Lineage: Eukaryota; Viridiplantae; Streptophyta; Magnoliopsida; Poales; Poaceae
Description: partial small subunit ribosomal RNA
Source: RNAcentral
AUGGCGCCGCGAGUCUCCCACCUCACCACCACCGCUGCUCGCCGUCCGCCCCUCCCUCCGUCCCUCCUUCCGUCCAUGGCGGCGGCGACCUCCGUCGUCAACAGGACCCAGCGCGGCGGCGGCGGGCAACAACGACGGCGACGUCGGCCUCCAAGACCCCCAUCCCGCCUCCCGCUCAAGAACAUAUCUCAGGCUACAUACGACCGUUGUAUAUUGGAGAGCUCAAGCACUAUACCUGUCCCGCUCACAACAUUUCUCUUCUCAACUCAGGCAUCCAAAAGCUUCAACAUCUCACAAAAAUCUCAAAACUCCGGACUAGAGCCUACCUACAGCCCCGCCCACGCAUCCCUUCGGCGCCGGCCGCCAUAA